GAGCGGCGAACGGCUGAGUAACACGUAGGAAUCUACCCCAAAGUGAGGGAUAAGCCCGAGAAAUCGGGUCUAAUACCGCAUAUGGUCUUCGGAUUAAAGCCCUCGGGCGCUUUGGGAAGAGCCUGCGUUCGAUUAGCUUGUUGGUGAGGUAAUGGCUCACCAAGGCAGUGAUCGAUAGCUGGUCUGAGAGGAUGAUCAGCCAGACUGGAACUGAGACACGGUCCAGACUCCUACGGGAGGCAGCAGUUAGGAAUCUUCCACAAUGGGCGAAAGCCUGAUGGAGCAACGCCGCGUGCGGGAUGAAGGCCUUAGGGUCGUAAACCGCUUUUAUGUGCGAAGAAUAUGACGGUAACACAUGAAUAAGGAUCGGCUAACUCCGUGCCAGCAGCCGCGGUCAUACGGAGGAUCCGAGCGUUAUCCGGAGUGACUGGGCGUAAAGAGUUGCGUAGGUGGUAAUUUAAGCAAAUAGUGAAAUCGUUUGGCUCAACCAGGCGGCUAUUAUUUGAACUGGGUUACUUGAGAACAUGAGGGGUAGAUGGAAUUUCCAGUGUAGGAGUGAAAUCCGUAGAUAUUGGAAGGAACACCGAUGGCGUAGGCAAUCUACUGGCAUGUUUC
This 615-nucleotide ribosomal RNA is filed under the name uncultured bacterium. RNAcentral's name for it is "bacterial SSU rRNA". It matches the Rfam family "Bacterial small subunit ribosomal RNA", at positions 93 to 740 of the family's 1533-position model. The record is from RNAcentral.